Long non-coding RNA from Impatiens glandulifera, 306 nucleotides. RefSeq lists it as uncharacterized. NCBI's taxonomy places the organism in Eukaryota, Viridiplantae, Streptophyta, Magnoliopsida, Ericales, Balsaminaceae. The record is from RefSeq and is a predicted model, not a curated record. The transcript has 4 exons.
UUCAGUUUCAAUUUUAGUGGAUUUAGAAAGAGUUGAAGCUCUUAAAUAUGAUUCUAUAGUUUUUGAUGUGCCAACAGUAUUAAAUGAGAGGCAGAGUGGUAGCAGAAACAUGCAUUGAUCCUUGACAAGGACCUUAAUUUCAAAGGAAUUGAUCAUCUUGGCUAUCUUCGUCAAGCAUUUGAAGUUGGAUCCUUCAAUUAUUUUCUUGAAAGUGAGAUACUAAAUGGUUCUGAAUUUGAUGGGCACUGGUGGCUCCUGCAGGUUAAAAAUUCUGGCUUGGAUAGGCACAUUGAAACUAACUUAUGG